GGGUGCGAUCAUACCAGCACUAAUGCACCGGAUCCCAUCAGAACUCCGCAGUUAAGCGUGCUUGGGCGAGAGUAGUACUAGGAUGGGUGACCUCCUG
RNAcentral lists this ribosomal RNA (97 nucleotides) under Juglans regia (Persian walnut). Lineage: Eukaryota; Viridiplantae; Streptophyta; Magnoliopsida; Fagales; Juglandaceae. The record is from RNAcentral.